AACGAACGCUGGCGGCAUGCCUAACACAUGCAAGUCGAACGAGACCUUCGGGUCUAGUGGCGCACGGGUGCGUAACGCGUGGGAACCUGCCCUUAGGUUCGGAAUAACUCCCCGAAAGGGGUGCUAAUACCGGAUAAUGUCUUCGGACCAAAGAUUUAUCGCCUUUGGAUGGGCCCGCGUUGGAUUAGCUAGUUGGUAGGGUAAAAGCCUACCAAGGCGACGAUCCAUAGCUGGUCUGAGAGGAUGAUCAGCCACACUGGGACUGAGACACGGCCCAGACUCCUACGCGAGGCAGCAGUGGGGAAUAUUGGACAAUGGGCGAAAGCCUGAUCCAGCAAUGCCGCGUGAGUGAUGAAGGCCUUAGGGUUGUAAAGCUCUUUUACCCGGGAUGAUAAUGACAGUACCGGGAGAAUAAGCACCGGCUAACUCCGUG
This 433-nucleotide ribosomal RNA is filed under the name uncultured bacterium. RNAcentral describes it as "partial 16S ribosomal RNA". It matches the Rfam family "Bacterial small subunit ribosomal RNA", at positions 29 to 507 of the family's 1533-position model. The record is from RNAcentral.